This 266-nucleotide ribosomal RNA is filed under the name uncultured bacterium. Its description in RNAcentral is "partial 16S ribosomal RNA". It matches the Rfam family "Bacterial small subunit ribosomal RNA", at positions 793 to 1055 of the family's 1533-position model. The record is from RNAcentral.
GUCCACGCCGUAAACGAUGGGCACUAGGUGUAGGAGGUAUUGACCCCUUCUGUGCCGAAGCUAACGCAUUAAGUGCCCCGCCUGGGGAGUACGGCCGCAAGGCUAAAACUCAAAGGAAUUGACGGGGGCCCGCACAAGCGGUGGAGCAUGUGGUUCAAUUCGACGCAACGCGAAGAACCUUACCUGGGUUUGACAUCCGCUGACCGUCCUGGAAACAGGAUUUUCACCGCAAGGGGACAGCGAGACAGGUGCUGCAUGGCUGUCGU